RNAcentral lists this unclassified non-coding RNA (253 nucleotides) under uncultured Pseudobdellovibrionaceae bacterium. RNAcentral's name for it is "uncultured Bdellovibrionaceae bacterium contains 16S-23S intergenic spacer region". It matches the Rfam family "Bacterial small subunit ribosomal RNA", at positions 524 to 776 of the family's 1533-position model. The record is from RNAcentral. Lineage: Bacteria; Pseudomonadati; Bdellovibrionota; Bdellovibrionia; Bdellovibrionales; Pseudobdellovibrionaceae.
GACGAGGGGUCCUAGCGUUGUUCGGAAUCAUUGGGCGUAAAGCGGGUGUAGGCGGAUAAGUAAGUCAGAUGUGAAAUCCCUGGGCUCAACCCAGGACGUGCAUUUGAUACUGCUUAUCUUGAGUAUCGGAGAGGUUCGUGGAAUUCCAGGUGUAGUGGUGAAAUACGUAGAUAUCUGGAGGAACAUCGGUGGGGAAGCCGGCGGACUGGCCGAAUACUGACGCUCAGACCCGAAAGCGUGGGGAUCAAACAGG